Molecule: long non-coding RNA, 1259 nt
Filed under: Musa acuminata (dwarf banana)
Lineage: Eukaryota; Viridiplantae; Streptophyta; Magnoliopsida; Zingiberales; Musaceae
Description: long non-coding RNA (MACU_LNC001400)
Source: RNAcentral
GACGACGCUCUCCGCCGCGGCCUCUCUUCUCCCGCCCGAACCCUAGUUCCCUUUUCUUCACCCUCCCUCCACCUCCCUGGAUUUCUCUACCACCCGGACGCGCCGCGCCCUUCACCUCCAUCUCUUCCGAGGCGGUGAUCGUGCAGCGGGAGGAGCGGCAGCCAACCGCGUCCGAGGAGGGCGGGUACCACGACCUCCUCGGAAACGAUGUUUAGUCUAUAUGGUAAGUAUGAUAAGAAAGACACUGUUACUCAAAUCCUAGAAACCAAGGUUUUAAGUAUCAUGGCAAAUCGAGUAAACUGCCCUGUAUGUAGCGGUCCAACUGGGCAUUAGUACAGUGAUGUACCAUGAAACUAAGUAGACUUCAGUAAAAAAUGUGAAUGCAUGAUUAAUGCUGUGUACAACGCCCUGUAGGUCGGAUGUUGCAUUGGAAGAAUGCAAACUGCUCACAGAUUUGGAAAUCUCAAAUUUUAUUUGUUGAAGCAAGUCAAUGCCUUUAGCAUUUCAAAGGGUUUUCUUUGAUUUGCUCUUUUAUGCCCAGGUUGAAUUUUGCAAUAUAUUUGUUGUGCAGCAUAAUAUUCAUUUCCUCCAGGAAAUUCUUCAAAAUAUGAAAUUAUUUGUUGUGGAGGUCCUCAUUUCUCAACACUUGUUGUUCUCCAACCAAAAAUGAACAACUAGAAACUUGGUCAAGAAGGAUCUAUUGAAUAUGAUGGUUAGAUUUGUUGAUAUGUUUUCCAUUUUAGCAACAAAGUCUUUAUAUAACUUUGUCAUAUCCUUUUUUAAAGUUGCCAACAAAUAUAAGAUCAACUGAGAAGUCCUAGAUAUUUUUUUCUUGUGUAAUCUUGAUGAAAAGAUGGUAAGGGGAUAGAAGGGGAGAAAGCAUUUGAGUUUAGCAGUGUUGCUGAGAUCCAAAAUCUGAGCCCUCAGCUGUAACUCAUGGAAGGUGCUAUUCAGAAAUACUCAUCAGACAAUGAGGAAUCACCAAUCUUUUAGUCAUUUCCAAUUCAUAAAGCUUACUUGGGGGAUUAUAUAUGGAUCAUCACCCAUAUAUGUUGUAGUCAUUUCCAAGUCAUCUUGCCUCCUCUGCUUCAGGUAUGCAAGUAUUGCCAAAGCUUGGUUGCCUUGGUUUCAUCUUUUGGAAGCUGAGUACCUCCUAUCCAGACCAAGGCACAAAAGUAGUGUAACCUUGGCUAAGCAAGGGUAGGAUCAUCACCCAUCAUUCAUCUGUUCUGUUAUGGCUUUUUGGAAUUAUAUCUGCA